This 76-nucleotide transfer RNA is filed under the name Eggerthella sp. Its description in RNAcentral is "tRNA-Arg". It matches the Rfam family "tRNA". From Rfam's summary of the family: Transfer RNA (tRNA) molecules are approximately 80 nucleotides in length. Their secondary structure includes four short double-helical elements and three loops (D, anti-codon, and T loops). The record is from RNAcentral. Lineage: Bacteria; Bacillati; Actinomycetota; Coriobacteriia; Eggerthellales; Eggerthellaceae.
GCCUCCGUAGCUCAGGGGACAGGGCACCGCUCUCCUAAAGCGGGUGCCGGCGGUUCGAAUCCGCCCGGGGGCACCA